GAAUCUUCCACAAUGGGCGAAAGCCUGAUGGAGCGACGCCGCGUGGGGGAUGAAGGUUUUCGGAUCGUCAACCCCUUUUCUCAGGGAAGCGUACGGCCGGUACCUGAGGAAUAAGCAUCGACUACCUACGUGCCAGCCGCCGCGGUAAUACGUAGGAUGCUAGCGUUGUCCGGAAUCACUGGGCGUAAAGGGUCCGUAGGCGGUCUGUUAAGUCUCCUGUGAAAGUUCAGGGCUCAACUCUGAAAUGUCGGGGGAUACUGGCAGACUUGAGACUGUCAGAGGCAGGUGGAAUUCCCGGUGUAGUGGUGAAAUGCGUAGAUAUCGGGAGGAACACCAGUGGCGAAAGCGGCCUGCUGGGACAGUUCUGACGCUGAGGGACGAAAGCGUGGGUAGCAAACCGG
RNAcentral lists this ribosomal RNA (401 nucleotides) under uncultured bacterium. Its description in RNAcentral is "bacterial SSU rRNA". It matches the Rfam family "Bacterial small subunit ribosomal RNA", at positions 359 to 776 of the family's 1533-position model. The record is from RNAcentral.